Molecule: ribosomal RNA, 497 nt
Filed under: uncultured bacterium
Lineage: Bacteria
Description: partial 16S ribosomal RNA
Rfam family: Bacterial small subunit ribosomal RNA
Source: RNAcentral
GAUGAACGCUGGCGGCGUGCCUAAUACAUGCAAGUCGAGCGAACAGACGAGGAGCUUGCUCCUCUGACGUUAGCGGCGGACGGGUGAGUAACACGUGGAUAACAUACCUAUAAGACUGGGAUAACUUCGGGAAACCGGAGCUAAUACCGGAUAAUAUAUUGAACCGCAUGGUUCAAUAGUGAAAGACGGUUUUGCUGUCACUUAUAGAUGGAUACGCGCCGCAUUAGCUAGUUGGUAAGGUAACGGCUUACCAAGGCAACGACGGGUAGCCGACCUGAGAGGGUGGUCGGCCACACGGGAAGUGAGACAGGGUCCAGACUCCGGGGGGAGGCAGCGGUAGGGAAUCUUCCGCGAUGGGGGAGAGGCUGACGGAGCAACGCCGCGUGAGUGAUGAAGGUCUUCGGAUCGGAAAACUCUGUUGUUAGGGAGGAAGAAAUGUGUAAGUAACUGUGCACGUCUUGACGGUACCUAGUCAGAAAGCCACGGCUAACUACGUG